GAGCAUCACAUCAGCACUCAAAAAGUUUCAAAUUUUGGUGCAUUUCAGAUUUUGGAUUUUUGGAUUAGGGAUGCUCAA
Molecule: microRNA precursor, 78 nt
Filed under: Otolemur garnettii (small-eared galago)
Lineage: Eukaryota; Metazoa; Chordata; Mammalia; Primates; Galagidae
Description: miRNA (ENSOGAG00000026085.1)
Source: RNAcentral